GUUGAGAUAUGAUAGGUCUGAAGAAGCAUGCCCUUCUGCAGGAGGCCAGGAUUCGACUAGUGAUGGGCCCUGAUAGCAGAGGGCACCCGUAUGUUGUCUCUGCCAUCACUGAGAUCAGAAGAGCA
Molecule: non-coding RNA, 125 nt
Organism: Peromyscus maniculatus bairdii (prairie deer mouse)
Lineage: Eukaryota; Metazoa; Chordata; Mammalia; Rodentia; Cricetidae
Source: RefSeq, a predicted model, not a curated record